Neltuma alba is the source of this 545-nucleotide long non-coding RNA. RefSeq lists it as uncharacterized. The transcript is spliced from 3 exons. The record is from RefSeq and is a predicted model, not a curated record. Lineage: Eukaryota; Viridiplantae; Streptophyta; Magnoliopsida; Fabales; Fabaceae.
AGCGCUUGCAAAACUUGACUUGGCACAAGCUGGAAAUCUGAUAGGGUUGGUUGACCUUUUUCUACAGUGGAUGAGGAUGACACAAAUCAUUGCAACCAUUUUGGAGCUAAUGUAUAUGUAAGCUCUUCUUUCCAAAGGAUAAAGGCUUGCACUUUAUCCUUUCGAGGCAUGUGAGGGAAUCAUGUUUCUGCCAAGGACUUGAGGAUGUUGUCGUUCCAAAAUGUGGUAAACCGGAUGAAGAAUUGGCAAUGGAUAUGCGUGAUAGAAUGGUUAUCAUUUGCCUUCGGGCAGUCUUUUCUAAAAGUAACAGUAUUUGGGUUUGAGGAUUAAGGAUUUGAUGUUUGCUGCUUUGUACAUAUUCACUUGUAAAGAUGAUGAUGGUCAAGGUAGAGGUGUUAAUAAUAUGAUAAAACCAAUCCUAGUCUCUUCACAGUUCAACCUUUCGGGAUUAAAGUGGAUUUCUGUAGAAGGUCAUAUAUUUGUAUAAGAAAUUUGCCAUGAACAAUCCUCUUUUUUUUUGUCUGAGAAGAAGCGUAUGUUUAGUU